ACGCUCGACACCUACGGGAGGCAGCAGUUAGGAAUAUUGGGCAAUGGAGGGAAACUCUGACCCAGCAACGCCGCGUGAAGGAAGAAGGUUUUCGGAUUGUAAACUUCUGAUCUAGGGGAAGAAGGAAGUGACGGUACCCUAGGAGAAGCCACGGCUAACUACGUACCAGCAGCCGCGGUAAUCUGAGCGGGCUGGCAAGGC
Molecule: ribosomal RNA, 201 nt
Filed under: uncultured bacterium
Lineage: Bacteria
Description: partial 16S ribosomal RNA
Rfam family: Bacterial small subunit ribosomal RNA
Source: RNAcentral